RNAcentral lists this small RNA (83 nucleotides) under Marmota monax (woodchuck). Lineage: Eukaryota; Metazoa; Chordata; Mammalia; Rodentia; Sciuridae. The record is from RNAcentral.
ACCGGGCGUGGUGGUGCACGCCUGUAAUCCCAGCAGCUCCAGAGGCUGAGGCAGGAGGAUCAUGAGUUGAAAGCCAGCCUCAG